UGGGGAGAGUUGGAGAUCACUCCAGAUCCAAUUGAAGCCCUAGGGUAGAUCUAAAGAAACAAAAAAAGAAAUAGCUUCAGUCGUGGAUCGAGGAUGGGAGUCUGGUAAUAAACUUACACCCUCCUCGAGAAGAAAAAUACCACCACUCCUUGUUAGGAUGUUUCUUCAAGAUGAACAUUGCUCUAAAGAGUGAGCACCUAGAGGGAU
Molecule: long non-coding RNA, 207 nt
Filed under: Elaeis guineensis (African oil palm)
Lineage: Eukaryota; Viridiplantae; Streptophyta; Magnoliopsida; Arecales; Arecaceae
Description: long non-coding RNA (EGUI_LNC050647)
Source: RNAcentral